This 1017-nucleotide ribosomal RNA is filed under the name uncultured bacterium. Its description in RNAcentral is "bacterial SSU rRNA". It matches the Rfam family "Bacterial small subunit ribosomal RNA", at positions 355 to 1375 of the family's 1533-position model. The record is from RNAcentral.
UGAGGAAUAUUGGUCAAUGGGCGAGAGCCUGAACCAGCCAAGUAGCGUGAAGGAUGAAGGUCCUACGGAUUGUAAACUUCUUUUAUACGGGAAUAAAGUAUCCUACGUGUAGGAUUUUGUAUGUACCGUAUGAAUAAGCAUCGGCUAACUCCGUGCCAGCAGCCGCGGUAAUACGGAGGAUGCGAGCGUUAUCCGGAUUUAUUGGGUUUAAAGGGAGCGCAGACGGGAGAUUAAGUCAGUUGUGAAAGUUUGCGGCUCAACCGUAAAAUUGCAGUUGAUACUGGUUUCCUUGAGUGCAGUUGAGGCAGGCGGAAUUCGUGGUGUAGCGGUGAAAUGCUUAGAUAUCACGAAGAACCCCGAUUGCGAAGGCAGCUUGCUAAACUGUAACUGACGUUCAUGCUCGAAAGUGUGGGUAUCAAACAGGAUUAGAUACCCUGGUAGUCCACACGGUAAACGAUGGAUACUCGCUGUUGGCGAUAUACUGUCAGCGGCCAAGCGAAAGCAUUAAGUAUCCCACCUGGGGAGUACGCCGGCAACGGUGAAACUCAAAGGAAUUGACGGGGGCCCGCACAAGCGGAGGAACAUGUGGUUUAAUUCGAUGAUACGCGAGGAACCUUACCCGGGCUUAAAUUGCAGACGAAUUACGAGGAAACUUGUAAGCCGCAAGGCGUCUGUGAAGGUGCUGCAUGGUUGUCGUCAGCUCGUGCCGUGAGGUGUCGGCUUAAGUGCCAUAACGAGCGCAACCCUCGUGGUCAGUUACUAACAGGUUAAGCUGAGGACUCUGGCCAGACUGCCAUCGUAAGAUGUGAGGAAGGUGGGGAUGACGUCAAAUCAGCACGGCCCUUACGUCCGGGGCUACACACGUGUUACAAUGGGAGGUACAGAAGGCAGCUACCCGGCGACGGGAUGCCAAUCCCCAAAACCUCUCUCAGUUCGGACUGGAGUCUGCAACCCGACUCCACGAAGCUGGAUUCGCUAGUAAUCGCGCAUCAGCCACGGCGCGGUGAAUACGUUCCC